RNAcentral lists this long non-coding RNA (322 nucleotides) under Bos taurus (domestic cattle). RNAcentral's name for it is "long non-coding RNA NONBTAT023826". Lineage: Eukaryota; Metazoa; Chordata; Mammalia; Artiodactyla; Bovidae. The record is from RNAcentral.
UAUAAUUGGAUGUGAAUUUUGCUUGUUGUUACCUAAGCUUAUUGGGCUUCUGAGCCUUUUUGAACCUUCAGAACUAAGGUCUAUAGAAUUGGGACAUCUUGAUUUUCUCACGACCUUCUUUAGGCUACUUUGAUUCUGUUAAUUCCUGGUUAUUAAAAGGUUGUUUCAACCUCUAAAACUGCUUUACUUUCAAUAUUGUCAGAAAUAGGAGAUGUGAAUGGAAUGUUUCUGGCAGAAAAUUCACAUGACAGAUGAUUUCAAAUUAUCAUUUGUAUGAGGGGAAGAAACAGAUGUUUAUCAUCACUAACCACUGAUAGUUGAU